This 254-nucleotide ribosomal RNA is filed under the name uncultured bacterium. Its description in RNAcentral is "partial 16S ribosomal RNA". It matches the Rfam family "Bacterial small subunit ribosomal RNA", at positions 524 to 776 of the family's 1533-position model. The record is from RNAcentral.
UACGUAGGGAGCAAGCGUUGACCGGAUUUAUUGGGCGUAAAGAGCUCGUAGGCGGCUUAGAAAGUCAGGUGUGAAACCUCCAGGCUCAACCUGGAGACGCCACUUGAUACUUCUAUGGCUUGAGUUCGGCAGGGGAACACGGAAUUCCUGGUGUAGCGGUGAAAUGCGCAGAUAUUAGGAAGAACACCGGUGGCGAAGGCGGCCCACUGGUCCGGUACUGACGCUGAGGUGCGAAAGCGUGGGGAGCAAACAGG